This 1857-nucleotide long non-coding RNA is filed under the name Brassica rapa (field mustard). RNAcentral describes it as "long non-coding RNA (BRAP_LNC005190)". The record is from RNAcentral. Lineage: Eukaryota; Viridiplantae; Streptophyta; Magnoliopsida; Brassicales; Brassicaceae.
CAAACUGAAACACACACUCUAUUUUUUUUUUAAUUUCAGUGUUCUUCAAAUAUUAAAACCGGUAAAACAUGAAACUAAAAUAUCUUAUUAAAAUCUGAAACAUUUGAGGGGCUUUAUUGGUGGUGAUGUUUGGUGCAUUGUCAAGAGGGAAAUAUGAGCUGUUAGACUAAGGCGAUCCUAUAAUCUUUAUUUUAUUUUUCUGUUAACGUAUAUGUUUGAAUUAAUUAGUAAGAGAAUGGUGGGUGGGACACAUUCUUAUUAUUUUAGACCUUUCAAUUUCUCUUUCUCAUUUCCAAUCCUUGUCCUAAACUAAUCCCUACAUCGGCUCCACUAGUUUAAAUUGGGGAAAAUCACAUAAAAAACCUUGAAAGUGUCACUAACUAGCACUUUAAACCUUGAAGUUUUUUUGCUAGCACUUUUAACCUUCAAAGUGACAUUUUUAUCAUAAAAAACCUCCAAACAAGAAAAAUGACCGGUUAAACAGGUUAAAAAAUGUUUUUUUUUUCAAAAAAUAAUUAUUUAAUUAAUAAAAUAAACAAAAAAAUUAAUAAAAAUCGAAAAAUUUAACAAAAAACUCACAAAUUAAAAAAUGAGAAAAAAAAUAUUUAAAAAUUAAAAUAAAAAAUAACAAAAAAUUCAAAAAAUAAAUAAGAUCAAAUUAAAAUGAAAAAAAAUUAAAAAACAUAAAUUUAAAAAAAAAUUGAAAUUUUUUGAAACUGUUUUUAAAAUUUUUAUUUUUAAUUUUUUAGUAUUUAUUUUUUAUUUUAUAAAAUUUUAAACCCUAAUUCCAAAACCUCACCCCUUAACUCUAAACCCUAAAGUUUGGAUUAAUUAACCCAAGGGGUAUAAGUGUAUAUUUACCUCUUUAAUGAAACUUAUUUUUGUGACUUUGAGCCUUGAAUACUAGUUUGAGAUCAAAAACUUGGUUUGGUGUUAUCUUAGUCUUUUUUUUUUAUCAACACAUAUCUCCAAUGAUAAUUUCCGACAUUAUAUUUGAAAAUGAAAAAAAAAACUUUUUGAAUUUUCAAUUUUUUGAAAUUUAUUAUUAUUUUUUCUGUAUUUUAAUUUGAUCUUAUUUAUUUUUUAAUUUUUAGUUAUUUUUUAUUUAAUUUUCUAAAUCUUUAUUUAUUUUUCUCACUUUUUUAAAUUUAUGAGUUUUUUGUUAAAUUUUUCGAUUUUAUUAUUAUUUUUGUUUAUUUAUUAAUUAAAUAAUUAUUUUUGAAAAAAAAACUGUUUUUAACCUGUUCAGCAGGUCAUUUUUCUUCUUUGGAGGUUUUUUAUGAUAAAAAUGUCACUUUGAAGGUUAAAAGUGUUAGUGAAAAAAUUCAAGGUUUAAUGUGCUAGUAAGUGACACUUUCAAAGUUUUUUAUGCGAUUUUCCCGUUUAAAUUGUAUUUGGGUUUGUCUAAUUGUCUAACUAGAUAAAAAACGCCGCUAAAUUUUGAUAACCGAUCAAUAUCGAGAAUGCAAUCAAAAUUUAGCGGCGGUUUUUUAUCGAGUAAUUCUUGUGUCCACCCUCUAGGGUGAACCUAUAUAGGUUCACCUAGCCAAUAAUAACUUGCCACAUCAUAUUUAGUUUUUGGAAGAAAAAAAGGUAAAAAACAUAAAUAGAAUUAUCUACAAAAUUAAAAAGAGAAAAAGAAUUAAAAAAAAAGGAAAACAGAAUAUGACGUGAAGUUGGUUAACGCCGUGGAAUACAAUUUUUCUUCUUCGUCGGCUGAAGAAAAAAUAGAUCACAGAGAAGAGAUGAAGCUGUGUUUGUGAUUUUCUGAGUCUUUAGUUCCUUGCUUUCAAAUCCAAUCUCGAAUUCACCUCCGAUCAAUGUACUGGUAACCCUAAUAAUCUUUUUUUUGUCAAC